This 1744-nucleotide long non-coding RNA is filed under the name Homo sapiens (human). RNAcentral's name for it is "HSALNT0071763". Lineage: Eukaryota; Metazoa; Chordata; Mammalia; Primates; Hominidae. The record is from RNAcentral.
ACACACACACAUACACAAAUUACACAGCAAUAUAUCAAGAGUAUUAAUUCUUAAUCAAUGCAUUUAAAGUUACAUGAUGUUCCAGUGAGAAAAAUAUCAACCAGGAUUUUUUUUGGAAGAAUACAACUUCCUGAAGUAGAAACCUAUAAAAAUUAUUUUAAUAUUAUAAAAUAUGUGAUAAAGAUAGGAAAGGUUGUUCCUACCAGAUAUUAAAAUGUAUUAUAAAGACAUUCUAAUUUAAAUAAUACAAUAUGUGUUUGGGAAUUGGUAUGCAACUGUGGAACAGAAGAGAAGGUAGAGUUUCAAUCUCAAAUAUAUAUAAUAUUUUAAUAUUGAAAAGUGACAUUUCAAAGACAUUAAAUAUAGGAAGGGGUUAUUUAGAUGACACUAGGUUUAACAAUUCUAUUUUAUUUUACCUUACACCUAAAAAUGACCACUAAUAGUAUAAAUUUAAGUAUUAAACACGAGAUGAUUAACACUUCAUAGCAUCAGUAAAUAAAACAUGGCAAUGGUCGUAACAAGUUCACUUCAUCUAUAGUUCUUACCUGAGCUCAAGUAAGCAAUUAGACUAACAAGGUCACAAUAGGCCUGGCUGGCACCAGUUUACUCAGAAGGAAUUGAACCAGAAAUGCAGUAAGGCAGCAGGGCCUUAUCACAUGUUUCUUUUUUUCACCAUGAGUUUUACAGAAUUCCAUAGAGCAAACAAAGUUCUAUUCUUGCUGAAAAUCCGGUAACAGUUCAAGUAAAAGGAGAUGAAAUAUACACCAGUGAGUGCAAGGUUCAGAAACCAGUUCCUGCUUUACUUUCCUGGGAUACUCAAUAGCUGAGCUUGCUUCCUUCUAGGUCUAGUCAUGUAUUGUUAUAAUUUGACCCUCAAAAGUUGAGGAGAAAUCAAAAAUUAAAAUUAUAAAUCAAUUAUAAGAAUUAAAUAAAAUAUAAAAUUAAAUUAAAAUAGUUGUAAAAAUACUUUAAAAAUGGUUUUAUAUUAAAACUGUUAGAAAAUUCUUUAAUUUUAAAUUUUAGAGAUGUAUUACUUAUUUUGUAGAGAUAUUUUUAAAGUGAAAAUAUCUGCUGAUUAGAAUUUUAUUGGGUUAAGAUUUAAUGAAACACUGUGUGUGUGUGUGUGUGUGUGUGUGUGUGUGUAUUGCUAGUGCUUUAUAACAUCACUAUUAUUUAUUUAUUUAUAUAGCGUUGUGGACACUAUGAGCUGCCCAGCUGCCCCUUAGAGGAAAAAUUUAUUGUUCUAGCUUCUAGGAAUGUUAUUGGCAGGUGGCAUUUAAAUCUCAGCCCCUUCAGGGUUUACCUGAACUGCAGAGAACGAGCCUACCUGACCAAGUACAAGAUCCUUUCCAAGUCAGCCCAGGAGGGAUGACUGACAGAGCAGAGGCAGAAAGGACCAGCCAUUCUGGAGCAGGAUAAGUGUUGAUCCCAAGGGCUCGCAUAGAAAACACGUGCACAUUAAACUCAGUAUCCUAAUCUGCUUGUAGACAAAUGUUACCUGCAACAUCCAGUGGAAGAGAGUAGGAAUUCGGGAAGAUUAAAGUUGCCACCAUUGCAGAGAAAAAUCAUUAUUGAGCCGGGUCUCAAAUUUAUUAUUAUUACCAUUUUCCACAUACUGGUGUCCGAAAAUAAACCUGAAAUAAAUGCUUAAGAAAAAAAAUCAUUUGAGUACUGUCUUUUAUCUAUACACUCAGAGCCAAAUACACUUUUGAAAAUUAAUUUCUUGGAAUAGAGUAGCCUAAAA